UGUUGCAAGUCGGUGGAGACGU
RNAcentral lists this microRNA (22 nucleotides) under Homo sapiens (human). Its description in RNAcentral is "hsa-miR-4684-3p". Lineage: Eukaryota; Metazoa; Chordata; Mammalia; Primates; Hominidae. The record is from miRBase by way of RNAcentral.